Molecule: unclassified non-coding RNA, 358 nt
Filed under: soil metagenome
Description: partial contains 5.8S ribosomal RNA, internal transcribed spacer 2, and large subunit ribosomal RNA
Rfam family: 5.8S ribosomal RNA (bases 1-120)
Source: RNAcentral
GAUGAAGAACGUAGCGAAAUGCGAUAAGUAAUGUGAAUUGCAGAAUUCAGUGAAUCAUCGAAUCUUUGAACGCACAUUGCGCCCGUCAGUAUUCUGGCGGGCAUGCCUGUUCGAGCGUCAUUACGCCCCUCAAGUCCCCUGUGGACUUGGUGUUGGGGAUCGGCGAGGCUGGUUUUCCAGCACAGCCGUCCCUUAAAUUAAUUGGCGGUCUCGCCGUGGCCCUCCUCUGCGCAGUAGUAAAACACUCGCAACAGGAGCCCGGCGCGGUCCACUGCCGUAAAACCCCCCAACUUUUUAUAGUUGACCUCGAAUCAGGUAGGACUACCCGCUGAACUUAAGUAUAUCAAUAAGCGGAGGA